AUCAACGCUGGCGGCGUGCCAACACAUGCAAGUCGAACGCGAAAGCCCCUUCGGGGGUAAGUAGAGUGGCGUCCGGGUGAGUAACACGUGGGUAAUCUACCUUCGGGUGGGGAAUAACUCAGGGAAACUUGAGCUAAUACCGCAUAAUGCAGCGGCACCUAAUGGUGAUUAGUUGUUAAAGCGGGGGAUCGCAAGACCUCGCGCCUGAAGAGGAGCCUGCGGCAGAUUAGCAGUUGGUGAGGUAAUGGCUCACCAAGGCUUCGAUCUGUAGCUGGUCUGAGAGGACGGCCAGCCACACGGGGACUGAGACACGGCCCCGACUCCUACGGGAGGCAGCAGCAAGGAAUUUUCUGCAAUGGGCGCAAGCCUGACAGAGCAACGCCGCGGUGGGGGAUGACGCACUUCGGUGUCGUUAAACCCCUUUUCCUUGGGACGAAGCAAGUGACGGUACCGAGGGGAAGAA
RNAcentral lists this ribosomal RNA (463 nucleotides) under uncultured bacterium. RNAcentral describes it as "bacterial SSU rRNA". It matches the Rfam family "Bacterial small subunit ribosomal RNA", at positions 32 to 490 of the family's 1533-position model. The record is from RNAcentral.